This is a non-coding RNA of Pelobates cultripes (western spadefoot toad), 346 nucleotides long. Lineage: Eukaryota; Metazoa; Chordata; Amphibia; Anura; Pelobatidae. The record is from the annotation of a GenBank genome assembly.
CUGGCAUAAGUCACUCACUUGGGAGAAGAAGUACCAAUUCUUAGGUAACGUCAGUGGAAAUUGAGUAGGGGUUUUCGUGAAGAAACCUUGGAGGCGUCAGCCACAAGCAGCCAUGGACAGCUGCUGGGGAUAUAGGUCUUGUCCCAUAAUCAGCAGGAUUAAGGUCCGUGGGAAUAUAAUGCCAUUGCUUUGGCAGAGAGAACCUUCUGAUACAUUCUACUCGAUUACUGACGUACACGUAAAAUUGUUUGGUUUGGUUGUAGAUGUAUCCAAGCACUAUCUUACUGUCUGUGUAAAAUGUGAAGGAAUCGAUUUUAAUGUCCAUUUCACUCUUUAUGACUUCGGC